AUGUGUUACCCUAGCAGCUGCACAAUCUCUCUGUAACCACACCAAUUCCUAACAGCCGCCACACAUAGACUCUUCCUCUUCUCCAUUCACUCAUAUCUCCACCGUUUCUUUCACCUUGACCUUGCUCCUCCGUUCCAGAUCUCUUUAUUCCGGUGACCUCCACUAUUAAUUAUUUACACUCUUCAUCAACAACAACAACACAAACUCAAGAAUGCAUAAACAGAGAGAGACUCAGAAAUUAAACGAUGAAGAGUGCACCAGGAGAUCAGAUCCACAGUGAAAAAGAUGAUUUUGAUCUGAUUUAUUUCUUUUCUUUUCUUAUUUCAUUUGUAUUUGGAUUUGUUUAUUUGUGGUCUUUCCUGCUCAUGUCUUCCAUGGAUUUUCUAUUUAAGUAUUUUAUAGACAAUCCUUCUUCAUCAACAUUAUUCUGUGUAUUUUUCUUUGAUUUUUUUUGUUAAACUGAAAUAUUAAGUAACCGAUUCAACUCGCCCGUCGUAUCCGACAAACCGUAUAAACCGAAUCCGAUCAAACCGAGUGCACCGCACGGACGAAAAUGGGUGGGAUUUCAUCACCCAUCGGUCACAUCGGAUUUGGGUUUUUCAGCUGAAAAUCGAUCGAGGCCGACCGAUGUCCACCCCUAGUUGGAUCCACUCAGAUCAAGGUCGAAAGUUCCAUAUUUCAAUGCAUAAUUUAAUUUUUUAUAAACUCAGAGUUCUUCAAAAUUUGGAUAUUCCGAUCUUGAUCAAGAUAUCACAGACGUCUCUACCUACAAGACUAUGUGUCCUUGGUCGAUUUGCCCAUAUAAAUCGUAAUCCGGUGAAUGUUGCAGCUAAAGUUGUGGCUUUGUAGGAGAAUUCAUUCCUCUCGAGUAAACUCCGCCGUCAACUACAUAGACUAAUCUCUUGAGCUGAGUGGAAAAUCUCUCCGACAAGAAAUUUAACAAUGUUGCAUUCUCAGGGCUGAAUUCAAACUCUGAACCUCGGAGAUAAAAGGAACUAUGAGUGAAUUACCAGAGAAACAUGACAACCAUGAUAAGAAAAAAGACAAAUCAGAUGAAGAUUCAAGAAAUAAAAAAGUGUCAUCUUCAAAUGCUAGCAAGACUAAGGAUAAAUAACAUCAAAUGAAAUUUUCAAGACCAAAUGAAGAAGAUUCUAGACAGGGGCAGAUCGAGGGUGUUUUGUUUCAGGCUUCCGUACGCUUCCCACUUGAAUGUAGAAUUGGCCGCGUCAGAGCCUUGUAAAGUUGUGGCUCUGUAGGAGAAUGCAUUCCUCUCGGUAUGUUUUUUUCUUUCUUCUUGAGAACAUAACUUUAUCAUUUGUGAAUGUGAUGAAUGAUUAUUUUUUUAUUUGGUAGAUUUGAUUUAUUCCUUUUGUAUUUAAGGGCGUUAAAUUGCAAACCUUAAUCCAACACUUGUUUUGAGCUUUGAUUUUAUUCAAGAUUAAUUUUUUUUAGAUUUAAAUAUUGUUCGACAAUAUAAAAUGAAUAUUUUUUUUAUUUAUGGCAAAGUUGUGUUAAUUGAUUUUUAAAAGGAACGUGGAUUUAUAGAAAUAUAUAGAGUACGCAUCCCUCAGAAUUUCCUCAAAAGCAUCCAAAGAAAUCAAAUUAUCAAUAUAAACAUGCUUACAAGGUUGUUUCAAUAAUUGCAUGAAUAAGAACAAUUGGAUCAGAAAAAUCUAGUUGAUAUUGCACAACCCAUUUCAGUUUAAUUUUUCUUAGAAAAUAUUUUUUGUCUUGUGUUUUAAUUCACCAAUAAUUAAUAUAACUACCUAUUUUCUAAUUCUUUCAUUGUUUAGCAAUAGGAAUUUUAGGGUUCUAAUUUUGAGAAGACAACCUUUAUUUACUUGGCCAACUUGUUGCUGCUAUUAUAUCAUAAGUUGGUCUUAUACUCACGGUUGCGGAUGGAAAAUUUAUGGGAAGAAAGGGAUCUCUGCAUAUUCUUUGACCUUCUGGAGUUGGAGCUGAAUUUAAAUCGAUGGAUACACCCUUUCCUUUGUUCGAAGAAUUGGUUUGAGUAACAGGUUGAAACGCAACAUGCUCAAAUUUGUCAAAAUAUUAUAAACGAUUAGGCAUUUGAAUUUCACCUGAAGGUGGUGACAUCUCAUAAUAUGAGUAAUAUGGAGAAAAAUCAUCAUCCACUUCCAACUCAGGAAUCUUUUCAUUGGUGUUGAGAUUGAUACAUGCUUCUGAAUUUCCAGUAUUUUGUGUUAGACUGACAUAGCUUGCUACCAAAGGACCAUUCACAUUACCAUCACCUUGAAUUAGUGAAGGUUGAUCAGAGGCGAACAUGUGCAAAGUAACACCAUUUCCUUUUCUUAUUGUGAUCAAGUAUCCACCAGGAAUUACUCAAUCGAUAACACAAGUGAUUUCCAUUUGUAGCCUGAUUUCUUCACGAGGAUUACUUGGGGGUAUUACUGGUGUAUCAUGGUCAUGGCUGUGAUGUUUCCCUUGUAGUCCACUCAUUGUUCUUUUAUCUCUGUAAUAACAUAAAUUAUUUGUCAUUCACUAGUGAAGAACACUUAAUCAAUUAAGUAUGGAACUUGAUUAA
Long non-coding RNA from Medicago truncatula (barrel medic), 2545 nucleotides. RefSeq lists it as uncharacterized. The record is from RefSeq and is a predicted model, not a curated record. The transcript is spliced from 5 exons. NCBI's taxonomy places the organism in Eukaryota, Viridiplantae, Streptophyta, Magnoliopsida, Fabales, Fabaceae.